AUGGCGCACGCUAGCCUCGCAGCCCUGGGCGUGCUCGUGGUCCUACUACUGCAGGCGUCAACCGGCACCGUGGCCCGCUCGUCGUCGGCCGUGUCAGCGUCUAAGGUCUUUGGCAUGCCGGCGGUGAUGUCACUCAACGGGUUCGAGCGCGGCGAGGACGGCGGCCCGCCGGCGGAAUGCGACGGCAAGUACCACAGCGACGACGACAUGCUGGCGGCGCUGUCCACGGAGUGGUACCAGGGCGGGAUCCGGUGCUUCAGGACGAUCCGCAUCACGAGGGCGGACAACGGGCAGAGCGUGCUGGCCACGGUGGUGGACGAGUGCGACACCGCGCACGGCUGCAAGAACAACAUCGUGGACACCUCCAGAGCCGUGUGGGCGGCGCUCGGGCUCGACACCAACGUCGGCGAGGUGGCCGUCACAUGGUCAGACUCCUGA
This 438-nucleotide ribosomal RNA is filed under the name Triticum aestivum (bread wheat). Its description in RNAcentral is "partial small subunit ribosomal RNA". Lineage: Eukaryota; Viridiplantae; Streptophyta; Magnoliopsida; Poales; Poaceae. The record is from RNAcentral.